CGGAACCUGCCAGCAGAGACGAGGAGGAGGAGGAGGACAAGGAGGAGAAGGAGCCGCUCUUCCUCAUGGCCAAACUCAGACCAGGUGACCUCUACCUGGUUCCUGGACCAACAUGGACGCCCAGAACCGCUCUGGCCCAACGCAACCUGACGCCCAGAAGCAGAGUGAAGCUUCCUCCCAUCCAGAAGAGUCUGUGGCAGACGGCGCUGCAUGAAUGGAUGGGAUGAUCGGAUCACUUCUAAUCAAGCUGCUGCUGCUGAACUGGAGCUUUUCUUCUAUUAAAGUUUAAUAAAAUCCAGUAAUUUAAA
Gambusia affinis (western mosquitofish) is the source of this 308-nucleotide long non-coding RNA. RefSeq lists it as uncharacterized. The record is from RefSeq and is a predicted model, not a curated record. Lineage: Eukaryota; Metazoa; Chordata; Actinopteri; Cyprinodontiformes; Poeciliidae. The transcript has 3 exons.